This 81-nucleotide ribosomal RNA is filed under the name Acyrthosiphon pisum (pea aphid). RNAcentral describes it as "Eukaryotic large subunit ribosomal RNA". It matches the Rfam family "Eukaryotic large subunit ribosomal RNA", at positions 999 to 1078 of the family's 3401-position model. The record is from Rfam by way of RNAcentral. Lineage: Eukaryota; Metazoa; Arthropoda; Insecta; Hemiptera; Aphididae.
UCUCAUACGGUAAAGCGAAUGAUUAGAGGACAUUGGGGCCGAAACGACCUCAACCUAUUCUCAAACUAUAAAUGAGUGAGA